This 890-nucleotide ribosomal RNA is filed under the name uncultured Bacteroidota bacterium. RNAcentral's name for it is "bacterial SSU rRNA". It matches the Rfam family "Bacterial small subunit ribosomal RNA", at positions 11 to 893 of the family's 1533-position model. Lineage: Bacteria; Pseudomonadati; Bacteroidota. The record is from RNAcentral.
CCUUUAUUCUGGCUCAGGAUGAACGCUAGCUACAGGCUUAACACCUGCAAGUCGAGGGGCAGCAUGGUCUUAGCUUGCUAAGGGCGAUGGCGACCGGCGCACGGGUGAGUAACACGUAUCCAACCUGCCGUCUACUCUUGGACAGCCUUCUGAAAGGAAGAUUAAUACAAGAUGGCAUCAUGAGUCCGCAUGUUCACAUGAUUAAAGGUAUUCCGGUAGACGAUGGGGAUGCGUUCCAUUAGAUAGUAGGCGGGGUAACGGCCCACCUAGUCUUCGAUGGAUAGGGGUUCUGAGAGGAAGGUCCCCCACAUUGGAACUGAGACACGGUCCAAACUCCUACGGGAGGCAGCAGUGAGGAAUAUUGGUCAAUGGGCGAGAGCCUGAACCAGCCAAGUAGCGUGAAGGAUGACUGCCCUAUGGGUUGUAAACUUCUUUUAUAAAGGAAUAAAGUCGGGUAUGCAUACCCGUUUGCAUGUACUUUAUGAAUAAGGAUCGGCUAACUCCGUGCCAGCAGCCGCGGUAAUACGGAGGAUCCGAGCGUUAUCCGGAUUUAUUGGGUUUAAAGGGAGCGUAGAUGGAUGUUUAAGUCAGUUGUGAAAGUUUGCGGCUCAACCGUAAAAUUGCAGUUGAUACUGGAUAUCUUGAGUGCAGUUGAGGCAGGCGGAAUUCGUGGUGUAGCGGUGAAAUGCUUAGAUAUCACGAAGAACUCCGAUUGCGAAGGCAGCCUGCUAAGCUGCAACUGACAUUGAGGCUCGAAAGUGUGGGUAUCAAACAGGAUUAGAUACCCUGGUAGUCCACACGGUAAACGAUGAAUACUCGCUGUUUGCGAUAUACGGCAAGCGGCCAAGCGAAAGCGUUAAGUAUUCCACCUGGGGAGUACGCCGGCAACG